This 253-nucleotide ribosomal RNA is filed under the name uncultured bacterium. Its description in RNAcentral is "partial 16S ribosomal RNA". It matches the Rfam family "Bacterial small subunit ribosomal RNA", at positions 524 to 776 of the family's 1533-position model. RNAcentral also lists the same sequence under 1 other name. The record is from RNAcentral.
UACAGAGGUCUCAAGCGUUGUUCGGAAUCACUGGGCGUAAAGGGUGCGCAGGUGGUCAUGUAAGUCAAAUGUGAAAGACUGGGGCUCAACCUCAGAUUUGCAUGUGAUACUGCGUGACUUGAGAACUGAAGAGGGAUCUUGAAUUCACGGUGUAGCAGUGAAAUGCGUAGAUAUCGUGAGGAACACCAAAGGCGAAAGCAGGAUCCUGGUCAGCUUCUGACACUCAUGCACGAAGGCUAGGGGAGCAAACGGG